This 250-nucleotide ribosomal RNA is filed under the name uncultured bacterium. RNAcentral's name for it is "partial 16S ribosomal RNA". It matches the Rfam family "Bacterial small subunit ribosomal RNA", at positions 524 to 773 of the family's 1533-position model. The record is from RNAcentral.
UACGAAGGGUGCUAGCGUUGUUCGGAAUCACUGGGCGUAAAGCGCGCGUAGGCGGUUAUUCAAGUCAGGGGUGAAAUCCUGAGGCUCAACCUCAGAAUUGCCUUUGAAACUGUAUGACUGGAGUGUCGGAGGGGAUAGCGGAAUUGCUAAUGUAGCGGUGAAAUGCGUAGAUAUUAGCAGGAACACCGGUGGCGAAGGCGGCUAUCUGGACGACAACUGACGCUGAGGCGCGAAAGCGUGGGGAUCAAAC